CCUACGGGAGGCAGCAGUGGGGAAUAUUGGGCAAUGGGCGCAAGCCUGACCCAGCAACGCCGCGUGAAGGAAGAAGGCUUUCGGGUUGUAAACUUCUUUUGUCAGGGACGAAGCAAGUGACGGUACCUGACGGAUAAGCCACGGCUAACUACGUGCCAGCAGCCGCGGUAAUACGUAGGUGGCAAGCGUUAUCCGGAUUUACUGGGUGUAAAGGGCGUGUAGGCGGGACUGCAAGCCAGAUGUGAAAACCACGGGCUCAACCUGUGGCCUGCAUUUGAAACUGUGGUUCUUGAGUACUGGAGAGGCAGACGGAAUUCCUAGUGUAGCGGUGAAAUGCGUAGAUAUUAGGAGGAACACCGGUGGCGAAGGCGGUCUGCUGGACAGCAACUGACGCUGAGGCGCGAAAGCGUGGGGAGCAAACAGGAUUAGAUACCCCUGUAGUC
This 443-nucleotide ribosomal RNA is filed under the name uncultured bacterium. Its description in RNAcentral is "partial 16S ribosomal RNA". It matches the Rfam family "Bacterial small subunit ribosomal RNA", at positions 338 to 795 of the family's 1533-position model. The record is from RNAcentral.